UCAAAGUAACUGAGAAAGGUAUGCAUGCUAUUGUCACCAUUUUAAUUAAUUAUUUACACCAACCGAUUCACUUUUCAAAGUAUAAUACCAAAUAUAUAUAAAACUGAUAAAUUACUUAAUAAUCAAUGAUGCAGAUGCUUCCCCCACAUAAGAUGGUAGUCCAUGUACACUAGUAAAAUAUACUUCCAGUGUAUGCCGUCUUCGUGCAUAAAUAAUGUUUUAGUCGUAAAAGUGAUUAUGGAAAAAUAUUUCCUGUUCUUUUUGAAGAUAAUAGCUCAAUGCAUCAUUUUUCAGUACCAAGGGCACGGUUACGGGGAAAAAGAACAACGAAAAAAAAACUGUACAAGAUACGAAUCUUUAAAAAAUCGACAGAAAAUACAUUAAUUGGAACGGCUAAGGGUGCCCCCUGAUCUGUGUAAUUUUAAAGGGCUGGGCGGACGUUAUCAGUCUGAACUCAUUUUAUAUAUCAAGGAGUAAACGUUUAUUGUACAUUUUAUUAGUUAUUAUAAUUUUACGAUGCUCUGUGGAUGAUUUUUGUCAGUUAAUGGUGGCAGGGUUUCGAGCAGCGAAAGCUUUCGUCUGUAGGACCUGUGCAAUGCGACAGCAAAGUUUAAACUACGGUGGCGUAUUAAACCCAUGACCUGAUAACAUUCCUAAAGUUAUAUCCAUUCACUUAUUUCGGAGCCUCUGAGAUUCUGAGUUGGGUGCGCCCUUGGUUUCCCCAGACUACAGAGACUGGCUGUAAUGAUCAAAUUUGUCUUAUGAAAACAGAUGGAUGGAAUCCAUGAUUACUGUACUUAUUUUAAACCCCCUUAAAUGUUCUGAAUAAUCCCCCAGCCAGCCACCCUCCUAAUAGUACACGCCUUACGCGUAUAGAUCAUGCAGCUUCCCGGGUGACCUAUCUACCACACGUGGAUUUCGGAUAAUACAGCUUCCUGGGCUACUAGAAGAAAAACAUUUUAGGUGAUCGCGUUAAAAGAAGACGCGUAUGUUUCGUUUUACCGAGGGAAUAGAUGUGGCGGAGUAAGGGGGUUAGCUCAAGGGAAGCAAAAUGCUGUUCUUCCUCUUUGUAUUAACGGUAUUCAAGUAGCUUUGUUCCACGUUACUCGUCCACGUCAUAAGCCUUGCGCUUCUUCUUUCGCAGAACGGCCCACGUGACCUUAAUAUUAAAGGGGAUGUGGACGUCUGCUUUACUAAUCGAUCUCUGUUCUGUACAUCUCGAUCCUGGAGAAAGGUCCCUGCUUAGUUAGAGUUUUACUUGUGGCCAGAUGUUGUUAGAUUUAAAUACAUUCUUAUUGUUAAACUCAUUUUUGGGAUUAUACAUUUCUUUGUAAAUCUUUAGUUCCCUGUAAAAAAUAUUUAUGCUAAGAGCAGCAGGAAACCACUAUUGGUACCACCAUCGACUCACCAACUCAGCAUUCUCGUUUUUAAUUGCAAGCCUCGAAGUUGUCAGUGUGGAAUUUGCACGGUCUUUCACUUCUUUCUAGUCAUACCCCCAAAUGUGAGUUGGUCAGAUUACACAGUGCUCUCGCUGAUGCUGGCAUGUAUGAGAUGACUUUGCCAUUGCCUGUGUUGCCAUGAUGGCCUCUGACCCUACUGACACUGCAUUAGGUGUUGUCCCUUUGCAAAGAUAUUACCUAAACUGAGAGACUCACAGGAAAAAACUGCAUGGGCUCUUUCUGAAAAAUGUGUACAUACCUAUGGUCCUGGAUAAUAGAUAUUGAUUAAAGAUUUGGAUACCUCUCUAGUGCUCUUCAAAUGGAUGUGAACUUUCUAGAUCCUUCUUACCAAGAAGAAAACCUGGGCGUUCCACUCACACAUUGAUCCAUCAAGAGUUACUCCAUCAAGAACACAGCAAGAAGACGUUGACAUCAGUCAUUGCCUCAAGCAACGCGAAACCAGAAGAAGGUGGCGAAUCCAGAAAAGAACAUUCUACAUAAUUGUUUAAAAAAUAGUUUAUAUGUUCCCUCUGAUUCUGGUUGCUACCUUAAUUGUGAUACUUAUUCUAUUGCAUGUGACAAUGCUUCAGAUUCAGAAUUAUUUGUAAAAACGCAUGAGAAGAAGGAAGAUGGGAUUUAAUACUUUCAUUAACCUUGCACUGUAUUUUGUUCAAAGCAAUAAUGUAUGUGUUCUCAUUUCCAUAUUCAUGCAUGAGGAGUUCUUCCGUGGAGUGUACCUCAAGUGGAAGAAUUACUGGGAUAGACUCCUCAUUUGGGAUGACCUAGUAAUUACUGCACAGAGUAACAGACUAAAGUCAGCAAAGUACCUUUGUUAUCAGUUUUUCAGGAUGGGGUAUCCACUGUUUCAGUUUUACAAAUUCAUCUUUUUCUUGUUUAAGGAUAGCUUGAAGGAUACAAGGGGAGCUAUGUUUCAUUAUUCAACACAAUGGAAGACAGAAAAUUGGCCAUAGUUUCUGAAAGCAGACUUUAAAGUUAAAUGGUAUCAAUGUUUUUGCCUUUUUACAGAAUCUCACCAGCUGUCAUCCUAUCACAUUUGCUGUAGGAUGGCCUGUUCUUGGCUUAUCCUAAAAAUGAAGGACAUGCACUAUUUGGAGAUGGUUUACCUGUAUAUUUCUUUACUAUCUGACUUUUCUUUGUACCACAGAGGGUAGCACAAUAAAAAAUGUUGUAUUUACUUUA
This is a long non-coding RNA of Polypterus senegalus (gray bichir), 2639 nucleotides long. RefSeq lists it as uncharacterized. Lineage: Eukaryota; Metazoa; Chordata; Cladistia; Polypteriformes; Polypteridae. The transcript has 2 exons. The record is from RefSeq and is a predicted model, not a curated record.